Molecule: small nuclear RNA, 294 nt
Filed under: Nannospalax galili (Upper Galilee mountains blind mole rat)
Lineage: Eukaryota; Metazoa; Chordata; Mammalia; Rodentia; Spalacidae
Description: 7SK RNA (ENSNGAG00000005033.1)
Rfam family: 7SK RNA
About the family: 7SK was discovered as an abundant small nuclear RNA in the mid-70s but a possible function has only recently been suggested. Two independent studies have found that 7SK RNA binds the CDK9/cyclin T complex (known as elongation factor P-TEFb).
Source: RNAcentral
GGAUGUGAGGGCAAUCUGGCUAUGACAUCUGUCACUCCACUGAUCACCAAGGUUGAUUUGGCUGAUCUGGCUGGCUAGGCGGGUGUCCCCUUCCUCCCUCAACACUCCAAGUGCAUCCCUCCCAAAGCUGCAUGCUCUGCUGAAGAGCAUGACCUUCCCCGAUAAAGGAGAACCAGUCUUCACUCAAGAGUAUUUGAGCAGGUGUGCUCCCCUGCUAGAAUCACCAAACAAGCUCUCAUUCAGUAUUUUUUAAAACAACUUUAAUUAGAAAUCACAUCCUACAUACAGGGGUUA